This 468-nucleotide ribosomal RNA is filed under the name uncultured bacterium. RNAcentral's name for it is "partial 16S ribosomal RNA". It matches the Rfam family "Bacterial small subunit ribosomal RNA", at positions 28 to 507 of the family's 1533-position model. The record is from RNAcentral.
GACGAACGCUGGCGGCGUGCUUAACACAUGCAAGUCGAACGGAAAGGCCCUGCUUUUGUGGGGUGCUCGAGUGGCGAACGGGUGAGUAACACGUGAGUAACCUGCCCUUGACUUUGGGAUAACUUCAGGAAACUGGGGCUAAUACCGGAUAGGAGCUCCUGCUGCAUGGUGGGGGUUGGAAAGUUUCGGCGGUUGGGGAUGGACUCGCGGCUUAUCAGCUUGUUGGUGGGGUAGUGGCUUACCAAGGCUUUGACGGGUAGCCGGCCUGAGAGGGUGACCGGCCACAUUGGGACUGAGAGACGGCCCAGACUCCUACGGGAGGCAGCAGUGGGGAAUAUUGCACAAUGGGCGGACGCCUGAUGCAGCAACGCCGCGUGCGGGAUGACGGCCUUCGGGUUGUAAACCGCUUUCGCCUGUGACGAAGCGUGAGUGACGGUAAUGGGUAAAGAAGCACCGGCUAACUACGUG